This 442-nucleotide long non-coding RNA is filed under the name Calidris pugnax (ruff). RNAcentral's name for it is "lncRNA (ENSCPUG00000011760.1)". Lineage: Eukaryota; Metazoa; Chordata; Aves; Charadriiformes; Scolopacidae. The record is from RNAcentral.
CACAGCUUGAGAGAGUGGGCAAUUAUACAGAAGGGCAAGAACCUUUGAAAGGGCUUUCCCCACAGUGAUCCUGUAAAAUUGUAAUCUCACCUCAUACCAUAAGAAACAAGGGUUUUUUAAGUUUAAGGAUUGACUGGAAUUCUUGACAUCCUUAUUUAAAAAAAAAAUACAAUUUAUCUUCUUGUGAGUAAGGAAACAGUUGUGGGGUUUUUUGGGGGGUAUUUUUAAUUCUUUGUCAAUAAAUGGGAGGAUUGACCUCAAGAUAUAUGAUUUCAUGCUUUUCCUGAGAGACAACCUGUGUGGACCUGAAUUUUGCUUCAAAAUAAGAAAGCCAACCUCGAAAUGAUGAGGCACAACCAUAAAGUACCAGUACCCAAGCCACGUUUUCAAUUACAGGACAACAUCUGCUGAGGAAAAAGGACAUGGCUCAAAAAAAAAAAAA